This is a non-coding RNA of Lactobacillus jensenii JV-V16, 97 nucleotides long. NCBI's taxonomy places the organism in Bacteria, Bacillati, Bacillota, Bacilli, Lactobacillales, Lactobacillaceae. The record is from Rfam.
UUUUGUCACUAGGGGAGCUAGUAGCUGAGAGACUUAGGUCGACCCUUUGAACCUGAACUGGAUAAUGCCAGCGCGAGGAAAGUGGAUUAAAUUUAGA